This is a long non-coding RNA of Neopsephotus bourkii (Bourke's parrot), 1183 nucleotides long. RefSeq lists it as uncharacterized. NCBI's taxonomy places the organism in Eukaryota, Metazoa, Chordata, Aves, Psittaciformes, Psittacidae. The record is from RefSeq and is a predicted model, not a curated record. The transcript has 2 exons.
GGAUCACUCUGAAACCAAGAGAGUAAUCUGGUUUUCUGGCUCUCUCCCUUUUUCCUCCUUUAUUCAGUGUUAACAAAAUACGAUUGUGUGCCAAACACAGCGCAAAGUCUGUGGAAAGGAGAUGUAUGUGGGAUGGAUGAAAGGCGCUGCAGGUCAUUUUCCACAAGCCACCUCAGAGGACAACACUCCCCCUGGGCCACCGAGCACAGCCAAACUGCUGCUGUGAGCACAGGGCAGAGCACCCCAGCGACUCGGUUGUGCAGGCAAUGUCAUGGAAACUUCAGGUGACUUACAGAUAAUGAUACCAACCACCAGCAGAAGGGGGGGGAAGAAGAAGGGGAAAAAAGACUGCAAAGCAAAGACCAACACAUCACAUAAAGCCUUGCCACAGCACAGUAGGUUUGCUGCCACGGGCUGAUGCUCAAGUCUAGCACCAUCACCUAGGCAAAAAUCAGGCACCUGCCCUCCCAACUUCCAUCUUUGCUUUCAGUUUGUACUCUGAGAAGCUUAGCAGUCAUUCAGUGCUAAGAUGACUUCCUCUUCAGAACUGAAGUAUCAAGAAGAGCGAGACAAAACAACCUGGGCUGGAGCCUUUCACAACAGGAAGGAGGUUGUUACAGCAGUAAUUUACUGUGUUGAAGGAGAAACAGACUGGGCUGCAAAACCGCCCAGAUCCCUGUAGCUACUUGAGGGGACAAUCACAGAAGCCAAGUUCACCCUCUUAGAAAGCUUUUCCCCCAUAACCAGGGUCAUAGAGGAGGAAGGCAAAGCAGAUCCUCCAGACAGCCACAGCCUCCCUGGCCCUCUCCACUAAUACCAUGACAGCAACCAAGGCUGUGGCCAUCAGCUCCAUCUACUGAGGGAUUUAUACUUUGGUGAUUUUGGCUUUGAUUACGAGAUUAAUUUCAUUCACUUGUUUCUCUAAGGUUGUAAAUAAUAUAAACCAGAACACUCAAAAAAGUCCUAAAUACCUCAAACAGGCUUUCAUCAGAACAGAGAAACAAUUGCUCUUAAGACAUCUAUAAAUAGCUUAUUCCUUGUCCUAAUGCAUGCAGGAACGUGGCGUCAGGUCCAUGAAAGCUUCCCAAUGUCUGGAAAAAACUGAAUAAAACCCAAACAGACCAGAAACUUUUUGUGUGUGUGAGAAAGAGUUUACAAAUAAAAACUAAAUGUAAAUAUUGUA